UGCCCUUAUUUCUCUUUGUAAUGUAGUAGGGUAGAAACCGCAUUAUCUAUUUUUCAUGUUCGCGAAUUGACCCCAAACUAUAUUGUCUUUGUUUGAACAUAAUUUACCAAUUUUGCAGUUGAGGACACUCAGAAACACACUUCACAGUUACAUGGCGCGGUCUUCUUCUGUUUUUCGCUACCCAACUCAAUUCAAAGGCGGAGGACCCAGCAAGCAAGCAACCCCUUCUUCACCAUCAUCACCAGUACUAGCAACAUUAUUGGCAAGGCGAAAUUGAAAGGCAUGCUUCUUCAGCCGAAAUUGAAUCAUUGUCUUAACGGAAUCGGUUUUUUAUCGGGUUUUGGCGGAGGAUUUCAAGCACUCUGCUUUCGUCCACAUCUGGAUUCGCAUUCUACUGAUACAUGUCGACGGCGAAUGGAACUGCUCCUUUUUUGGAGAUCGGAAGACAGAUACGGAGGGGGUUUGGGAGGCUGCAAUCAGAUAGGAUCAGAAACUCUGUUAAACCAACUUAAGAAAUAAAUUAUUUACGUUUGUUCUUUAGUGCAAGCAAUCUGCAAGAAGGUAUGGAAGGGAAAUCCUACUGCUACCACCAUGAAAAAUGUUUCAAGAGGUCUUGCUGCUCUUACUGUUCCAUUUACCAUGAGCUUUCCAAAAAGGUAGUUUUGCUAAGUCUUAUUGGCUUCUGCUAUUUAUGUUUAUUCUAUUCUCUGUGAACUUCUCUCCAGUCAUUUCUCUAAUAGAUGGCAUGCGCACUUUGAAGCCAAUGCCUUAGGAUGGCACCUCCCCCUCUUUAAUAUCAGGGCGGAGACAAAGAUGUCAAUUUGAGGAUAAAUAUUUCUCUAUCCCCGUUCAUUGCCCCAUACUCUCUCUCUUCUAUUUUGACAAGUGACAUGAGGAGAGAGAUGAAGAGAGGGAGGCAAUGAAAUAAGAAUGGAAGUUUUUCUCAAAGUUGAGGGGAGGUCUACAUUGAGCCCGGGCUCGGCACCUCUAUCUCCAAAGUUAUUAGCUACAACGUUCGCUGGAUGCUUCACCCUGCUACAACAAUACAACCACCACUGGUUAUGAGAUGAGAUACCCCUGACGUCAAUUUGAAAAGUAACAUCUGCAUCACUUUCCGAUAAUUGGAAGCUGCAUUGUUCAAUGUUGGGAUAAACAGGCUGUUGUAGAACUUUUUUUUAUCUGUUAAUUUAUAUAUAAAUUUAC
Prunus persica (peach) is the source of this 1203-nucleotide long non-coding RNA. RefSeq lists it as uncharacterized. Lineage: Eukaryota; Viridiplantae; Streptophyta; Magnoliopsida; Rosales; Rosaceae. The record is from RefSeq and is a predicted model, not a curated record. The transcript has 2 exons.